This 3579-nucleotide ribosomal RNA is filed under the name Triticum aestivum (bread wheat). Its description in RNAcentral is "partial small subunit ribosomal RNA". Lineage: Eukaryota; Viridiplantae; Streptophyta; Magnoliopsida; Poales; Poaceae. The record is from RNAcentral.
AUGCCACAUCAUCCUCAUCGACGUGCAUCAACUUUUUCACGCCGGAUCUUCGCUCAUAACGACAUGGAUGAUAAAGGCAACGAUGGCAAAAACUUGGGGAAUACAGGCAGGGAUGACAAGGACAUGGGUGAUAGACGAAAUGAAGGCAAAGGAAUGGAUGGUAUGCGCACGGAUGAUAACGAUAAUGAGGAUGCAGGCAAGGAUGGCAUAGACCUGGAUGAUGUACACAUGAAAGGUAAAGGAAUUGAUAUUAAAGGCAUGGCUGGUUCAGAUCUGAAUGAGUGUAUGGAAUACAUAGAGAUUGUGAAGAAGACUUUCAGGACUGAGGAAGAAGCCUACAUGUUCUACGUAGGCUAUGCGAGAGAAAAAGGGUUUGGUGUUAGAAAGGAUGAUCUGAAGUACAAGGGUCCGGGUCCGAAACAAAAUGCAUACAGAAGGACAUACAAGUGCUGCAAACAAGGAUGGCGGGCCCUUAAGCACUUUAACAGAGCUGAUAGAAAAAGAACACCGAGGGGUCUCUCUCGGUGUGGGUGUCCCGCUCUUUUUCAGGUUGAGCUACAAGAUAGUAGUGGCCUCUGGUUCGUCAAGAAUUUUGUGGACAAGCAUAACCAUCUGUUUGUCCCUGCUGACCUGACUCCCUACUUAUCGGCUCAUCGUAGAAUGACUGACGCACAAAAGAUCGAUGUCAUCGAGUAUGCUGUUGGUGGACUUCGAACAGAUCAGAUUAUGAAUGUAAAGCGUCAGAUUGUCGAAGGGACAAAUUGGCAGGUCACGGACCGGGUAGCAUGUGAUGGUUUGGUCAUGUUUGGAGUUUUGCACAAAGCCCCAUAUGAUAAAGUCCCAUAUGGCAGGGAUGCUACAGAAUUGCAAGGUAAGGAAGGUAAGGAUGAUGAGGACUUGCAUACAAAAAAAUUGGAUGCUGAGGAUCCCAAUGACUUGGAAGGUAAGGAUGCUGAGGACUUGCAUGCAAAAAACUUGGAUGCUGAGGAUCCCAAUGAGUUGGAAGGUAAGGAUGCUGAGGACUUGCAUGCAAAAAACUUGGAUGCUGAGGAUCCCAAUGACUUGGAAGGCAAGGAUGGUGUGGACUUGCAUGCCAAAAACCUGGAUGCUAAGGAUCCCAAUGACUUGGAAGGAGCAAGACUGGAUGAUGCAGCUUCUAAAUGUAAAAAGUUGGAAAGUCAGGAUUACCCAUGCGCACAUAUAUUCUGCGUUCUGGAUCAUCUUGGUGUAUGCACAUUUCCAAAAAAAAUUGUCAAGAAAAGAUGGACAAUGCAUGCCAAGCCAGGGUUCCCUUCUUCGAGGACUGCGAAUACUCAUGUAUGGAACAAAUCAGGGAAAUCAAAGGUCACGAGGAGGAAGAAGCAAAAAGAGAAAGACUCGGAGACAGAAGAAGACACAGAUUCAGAUACAGAAGAAGAGGAAGAUUCAAAAAAAGCAACGAAGAAAAAAUCGGGGAAAUCAAAUAGCACAAGGAGGAAGAAGCAAAAAGAAGAGACAGAGUCAGAUAAAGAAGAAGAGACAGAGGCAGAUACAGAAGAAGAGACAAAGGCAGAUACAGAAGAAGAGGAAGAUUCAGAUGCAGAAGAAGAGGGAGAUUCAGAUGCAGAAGAAGAGGGAAAUUCAGAUGCGGAAGAAGAGGAAGAUUCAGAUGCAGAAGAUGGUGGGCUGAGGAGGGCUAGGAAGAGACCAUUGGAGGUUGCAGAAAAGGAUUACGCAAAACCAAACAAGAAACGCAAGGCCGCUCCAAAUGUCAAUGCUGGGAGGAAGAAAAAGAAUGAUGACAAGGAGGUAGCCGUCGAGGUUAAUUUUCCAAUUUCCAGUGAGAAUACGGACAUGAUAGAAUCUCUCAAGCAAGAUGACAGCAUAGUGAAGGCUAUGAGAACGAGCAAGGAUGCUUCUUUGCCGCCAUAUGAGGAGUUCAUAAAGGGAUUAAACACGCAGCAAAGGAUAUACAUCCAGUUGAUAGGACUGGAUGGACUUCUCAAGACACCUAGCAUCAAAAUCAGACGUGUACUGUGCAUGGCCAUCGCUAAUUCAUAUGAUGCAGAGCAGGAUGCCUUUAUCAUCAACGGGAGACCAUGAUUGCUAGCCAAGAUGAAAGGCGACAGCACACCAAAUUUUGGCAGGCCAUUUGUCUUGUACACCAUAGGAAAAUAUGUAUGCCAAACAAAAGAGAAGUAUGUGGAUAACAAAUAUAUUGGGAUUGUUAGAAACAUUGAGAUGAUAAAGGGCACAAAUCUUGGACAGCUAAUGCUUGACUAUCUUAUGGAUAGCGUGAAGAAUUUUGUAAAUGGUGAGGCAAUUCUGGAGGGGAAUCUACCACUGCUGCAAAUAUGGUACUACGAGAAGUUCAGAGUGCACCAAUUGGACUCUAGCAUCUCGUAUGAAUCAAGGUUAAGGCCGCUGAUCCAGAACUGGAGCGAGGAGAAGGCAAAAAAGGUUGACAAUAUAAUCCAGAAUAAUUAUCUGGGAGUUGGAGAGUAUGUUGAGGACCUGAUGAGGCCUUUCAUUCCAGCACGAGAUGGUAUGCUGGCCAAACCGAAGACUGAUGCUCAGAUUAAGGUACUCGUCGGACGUGUAUUGACUGAUUUGCAAGAAGGUGCCUUCCUCGUGCGGGAGGUUGGUGCACAACAAGUUGAUAGGAUGUGCACCCUUGAAAAGAAAAUGGAUGAGUGCCUUAGGCGUACCCAUACAAAUGGCAAGCUCACAGAGGACCUCAUCAAAGAAUUGACCAAAAAACGCGACGGAAUAUUUCUAGGACUGGAGGACAUACAUCUUUCUGACCUCGGGGCACCUUCACACCCAAUGGAGGCCUCUGUUGAGAAUGUUGAGCAGGCUUCUGACCAGGGGAAACAAAAUGAUGUCACGGAGGUCGCUGCUAAGCACCAGUGUAAGCAGGGAAUAAAAAAUGAUGACAUGGAGCCCCCAAUGAAGAACCUUGAUGAAAAGUUUGACGUGGUUGGUGCUGCGAUCCAGCUCAUGCGUCAUGAUGACCCAAUUGACACAAGGGACGGCCAACUGGUUUACAUUGAGAGGAUGGCCGGCGUCGCUAAGCUCGAAAGAGAUGGUAGGAUAGAGGAGUGCUACGAGGACGCUUUGGCAGGCAUUCCUGGAACAACACAAGGCACCAGCUACCUGAAACAUGAUAUGGUUUUCCUACCUAUGAACAGCCAAAACGUCCACUGGUUACUUGUGGUCGUAAACCCCAGAAGGAAGGAGAUUCAGGUACGUGGGAUGGAAGCACAUCUGAGAGCAGCGAGGCGAAUCAAUGGGAUAGAAAGCAAUGCAUGGGAAGACAUUAACAUGACGCAAUGGCCAUUAUGGAACAUUAAUGUGCCAAAAUCCGAUGAAACUUCUUGUUGUGCACUGUACAUGCUGAAGAACAUCGAAUUAUUUACGGGACUAAAACUGAGUAAGAAAUAUGACAAAGCCUACAUCGAGAAAUUCAGAAAAGAGCUACCUGUUAUGCUAGUCGAUUCACCCUACAAUAAAAUGAAAUACAGGAAUAGGUUCAAGCAGUACCAUGCUAGGCUAUCGGAUGCAGCUGCGAUUGAAGACGACGAAGAUGCAAGCAGUUAG